GGUUAAGUUAGAAAGGGCGCACGGUGGAUGCCUUGGCACUAGGAGCCGAAGAAGGACGGGACUAACACCGAUAUGCUUUGGGGAGCUGUACGUAAGCGUUGAUCCAGAGAUUUCCGAAUGGGGGAACCCACUAUCUUUAGUCGGAUAGUAUCCUUACGUGAAUACAUAGCGUGAGGAAGGCAGACCCAGGGAACUGAAACAUCUAAGUACCUGGAGGAAGAGAAAGAAAAAUCGAUUUCCUGAGUAGCGGCGAGCGAAACGGAAAGAGCCCAAACCAAGAAGCUUGCUUCUUGGGGUUGUAGGACACUCUAUACGGAGUUACAAAAGAAAGUUAUAAAUGAAGCGGUCUGGAAAGGCCCGCCAAAGACGGUAACAGCCCGGUAGUUGAAAUGGCUUUCCCUCCAGAGUGGAUCCUGAGUACGGCGGAACACGUGAAAUUCCGUCGGAAUCCGGGAGGACCAUCUCCCAAGGCUAAAUACUCCCUAGUGACCGAUAGUGAACCAGUACCGUGAGGGAAAGGUGAAAAGCACCCCGGAAGGGGAGUGAA
Molecule: ribosomal RNA, 547 nt
Filed under: Listeria monocytogenes
Lineage: Bacteria; Bacillati; Bacillota; Bacilli; Caryophanales; Listeriaceae
Description: partial 23S ribosomal RNA
Rfam family: Bacterial large subunit ribosomal RNA
Source: RNAcentral